AUGCCUGAUAUCUGCAAACAAUUGUGGCCAAGUCCUCUACAUUCAUUCAAGCUUCCAGAUACAAAUGAAACCUGUGACUGUGAGAAAAUAAAAGGCUUUCUACAGGGCAAGCUUGAUGCUUGCUUGGAGCUCUUGAUUAGAACAGGACGACUGCCAGAAGCUGCCUUCCUAGCCCGAACUUACUUACCUAGUCAUGUUUCAAGGGUAGUCAAACUGUGGAGAGAGAACCUCUCAAAAGUCAAUCAAAAAGCAGCAGAAUCCCUUGCUGACCCUACAGAAUAUGAAAACCUUUUCCCUGGAUUAAAAGAAGCCUUUGUUGUUGAAGAAUGGGUGAAGGAAACACAUGCUGAUCUGUGGCCAGCCAAACAGUAUCCAUUUGUCACGCCAAAUGAAGAGAGAAAUGUUAUGGAGGAGGCAAAAGGCUUUCAGCCCUCAAGAUCUGUAGCUCAACAGGAACUUGAUGAAAAACCUGCUUCCCCUACGCCAGUUAUUGUGGCUUCCCAAACAGUCAACAAAGAAGAAAAGAGUUUGCUGGAGCUAGAAGUAGAUUUGGAUAAUUUGGAAUUAGAAGAUAUUGACACAACAGAUAUAAAUCUGGAUGAAGACAUGCUGGACGACUAAGUAUAGUUCUACAUGUAUUUCACCAAACAGAUCGUUUAGAUAGAGAUACUGAUCAUUACCUUGUCCACAAUGCUUGGAACUAGGAGAAGUUCCUUAACUUUUAUAAGUAAAUGCUGUGGACUAGUGGGUGCAGAAUGGCCUUCUUAAGAGGAACUUAAGUGUACAUUUAAAUUACUGUCUUCCUCACUAAAACAGACAUGUUCUGUGAUUGAUUUUUCAUGCUGAUACUAUACUGUAUCUCAUAAAAUCUUUUU
This is an RNA transcript of Octodon degus (degu), 875 nucleotides long. It is a transcript of the gene named coatomer subunit beta' pseudogene, with no coding region annotated. The record is from RefSeq and is a predicted model, not a curated record. The transcript is spliced from 2 exons. NCBI's taxonomy places the organism in Eukaryota, Metazoa, Chordata, Mammalia, Rodentia, Octodontidae.